This 406-nucleotide ribosomal RNA is filed under the name uncultured bacterium. RNAcentral describes it as "partial 16S ribosomal RNA". It matches the Rfam family "Bacterial small subunit ribosomal RNA", at positions 30 to 526 of the family's 1533-position model. The record is from RNAcentral.
AUUGAACGCUGGCGGCAGGCCUAACACAUGCAAGUCGGGCGAGGGGCGGACGGGUGAGUAAUGUAUGGGGAUCUGCCUGAUGGAUGGGUAUAACUACUGGAAACGGGAGAUAAUACCGCAUACCAUCAGAGGAACCCAUAUGGUAGUAUCUUGGAGGUAAGGUAACGGCUUACCUAGGCGACGUUCCCUAGCUGGUCUGAGAGGAUGACCAGCCACACUGUGACGUCGACACGGGCCAGACUCCUACGGGAGGCAGCAGUGGGGAAUAUUGCACAAUGGGCGCAAGCCUGAUGCAGCCAUGCCGCGUGUAUGAAGAAGGCCUUCGGGUUUUAAAGUACUUUCAGUGUGGAGGCGUUACCGACAGAAGAAGCACCGGCUAACUCCGUGCCAGCCGCCGCGGUAAUAC